RNAcentral lists this ribosomal RNA (446 nucleotides) under uncultured bacterium. RNAcentral describes it as "partial 16S ribosomal RNA". It matches the Rfam family "Bacterial small subunit ribosomal RNA", at positions 338 to 795 of the family's 1533-position model. The record is from RNAcentral.
CCUACGGGUGGCAGCAGUCGAGAAUCAUUCACAAUGGGGGAAACCCUGAUGGUGCGACGCCGCGUGGGGGAAUGAAGGUCUUCGGAUUGUAAACCCCUGUCAUGUGGGAGCAAAUUAAAAAGAUAGUACCACAAGAGGAAGAGACGGCUAACUCUGUGCCAGCAGCCGCGGUAAUACAGAGGUCUCAAGCGUUGUUCUGAAUCACUGGGCGUAAAGCGUGCGUAGGCUGUUUCGUAAGUCGUGUGUGAAAGGCGCGGGCUCAACCCGCGGACGGCACAUGAUACUGCGAGACUAGAGUAAGGGAGGGGGAACCGGAAUUCUCGGUGUAGCAGUGAAAUGCGUAGAUAUCGAGAGGAACACUCGUGGCGAAGGCGGGUUCCUGGACAUUAACUGACGCUGAGGCACGAAGGCCAGGGGAGCGAAAGGGAUUAGAUACCCGAGUAGUC